AUUGAACGCUGGCGGCAGGCCUAACACAUGCAAGUCGAGCGGAUGAAGGGAGCUUGCUCCUGGAUUCAGCGGCGGACGGGUGAGUAAUGCCUAGGAAUCUGCCUGGUAGUGGGGGAUAACGUCCUGAAACGGGCGCUAAUACCGCAUACGUCCUGAGGGAGAAAGUGGGGGAUCUUCGGACCUCACGCUAUCAGAUGAGCCUAGGUCGGAUUAGCUAGUUGGUGGGGUAAAGGCCUACCAAGGCGACGAUCCGUAACUGGUCUGAGAGGAUGAUCAGUCACACUGGAACUGAGACACGGUCCAGACUCCUACGGGAGGCAGCAGUGGGGAAUAUUGGACAAUGGGCGAAAGCCUGAUCCAGCCAUGCCGCGUGUGUGAAGAAGGUCUUCGGAUUGUAAAGCACUUUAAGUUGGGAGGAAGGGCAGUAAGUUAAUACCUUGCUGUUUUGACGUUACCCACAGAAUAAGCACCGGCUAACUUCGUG
Molecule: ribosomal RNA, 484 nt
Filed under: uncultured bacterium
Lineage: Bacteria
Description: partial 16S ribosomal RNA
Rfam family: Bacterial small subunit ribosomal RNA
Source: RNAcentral